RNAcentral lists this transfer RNA (71 nucleotides) under Prevotellaceae bacterium. Its description in RNAcentral is "tRNA-Trp". It matches the Rfam family "tRNA". From Rfam's summary of the family: Transfer RNA (tRNA) molecules are approximately 80 nucleotides in length. Lineage: Bacteria; Pseudomonadati; Bacteroidota; Bacteroidia; Bacteroidales; Prevotellaceae. The record is from RNAcentral.
AGGGGCAUAGUUUAAUGGCAGAACGAAGGUCUCCAAAACCUUUGGUGGGAGUUCGAUUCUCUCUGCCCCUG